Molecule: ribosomal RNA, 492 nt
Filed under: uncultured bacterium
Lineage: Bacteria
Description: partial 16S ribosomal RNA
Rfam family: Bacterial small subunit ribosomal RNA
Source: RNAcentral
AGUGAACGCUGGCGGUAGGCCUAACACAUGCAAGUCGAACGGCAGCACAGUAAGAGCUUGCUCUUACGGGUGGCGAGUGGCGGACGGGUGAGGCAUACAUCUGAAUCUACUUUUUCGUGGGGGAUAACGUAGGGAAACUUACGCUAAUACCGCAUACGACCUACGGGUGAAAUCAGGGGAUCUUCGGACCUUGCGCGAUUGAAUGAGCCGAUGUCGGAUUAGCUAGUUGGCGGGGUAAAGGCCCACCAAGGCGACGAUCCGUAGCUGGUCUGAGAGGAUGAUCAGCCACACUGGAACUGAGACACGGUCCAGACUCCUACGGGAGGCAGCAGUGGGGAAUAUUGGACAAUGGGCGAAAGCCUGAUCCAGCCAUACCGCGUGGGUGAAGAAGGCCUUCGGGUUGUAAAGCCCUUUUGUUGGGAAAGAAAAGCAGCAGGUUAAUACCCCGCUGUUCUGACGGUACCCAAAGAAUAAGCACCGGCUAACUUCGUG